UACGGAGGGUGCAAACGUUGCUCGGAAUUAUUGGGCGUAAAGCGCACGUAGGCGGCUUGGCAAGUCGGAUGUGAAAUCCCUCGGCUCAACCAAGGAAGUGCAUCCGAAACUGCUGAGCUUGAGUACUUAAGAGGAUCGCGGAGUUCCCGGUGUAGAGGUGAAAUUCGUAGAUAUCGGGAGGAACACCAGUGGCGAAGGCGGCGAUCUGGGAAGAUACUGACGCUGAGGUGCGAAAGCGUGGGGAGCAAACAGG
Molecule: ribosomal RNA, 253 nt
Filed under: uncultured bacterium
Lineage: Bacteria
Description: partial 16S ribosomal RNA
Rfam family: Bacterial small subunit ribosomal RNA
Source: RNAcentral